This 621-nucleotide ribosomal RNA is filed under the name Nematoda environmental sample. RNAcentral describes it as "SSU rRNA". It matches the Rfam family "Eukaryotic small subunit ribosomal RNA", at positions 585 to 1213 of the family's 1831-position model. Lineage: Eukaryota; Metazoa; Nematoda. The record is from RNAcentral.
CCAGCUCCAAGAGUGUAUAUUUAUAUUGCUGAGGUUAAAAAGCUCGUAGUUGGAUCUGCGUGUUUAGCAUCUGGUGUGGUUUUUGAUCACUACUGGAAUGCAACACAGUUGUGUCGGUGUGCCAUUGAUGCUCUUAACCGGGUGUCUUUGGUGGCUGAUGAGUUUACUUUGAACAAAUUAGAGUGCUCAACACAGGCGUUUCGCUUGUAUAUUUCUGCAUGGAAUAAUAGAAUAGGACCUCGCGUCUAUUUUGUUGGUUUUCGGUUGUGAGGUAAUGAUUAAGAGGGACUGACGGGGGCAUUCGUACUGCGACGUGAGAGGUGAAAUUCUUGGAUCGUCGCAAGACGCACUACUGCGAAGGCAUUUGCCAAGAAUGUUUUCAUUAAUCAAGAACGAAAGUAACGGGUUCGAAGGCGAUCAGAUACCGCCCUAGUCGUUACCGUAAACUAUUGCGACAAAAAGCUUGUGGGCGUUUUAAAUGACCCCAUAAGAGUUUGACGGGAAACCAAGUUUUUGGUAUCCUGGGGGAGUAUAUAUCGCAAGUUCGAAACUUAAAGGAAUUGACGGAAGGGCACCACCAGGGGUGGAGCCUGCGGCUUAAUUCGACUCAACAAGGGCGAA